GCCUACCAAGGCGACGAUCAGUAGCUGGUCUGAGAGGAUGAUCAGCCACACUGGGACUGAGACACGGCCCAGACUCCUACGGGAGGCAGCAGUGGGGAAUAUUGGACAAUGGGCGCAAGCCUGAUCCAGCCAUGCCGCGUGAGUGAUGAAGGCCUUAGGGUUGUAAAGCUCUUUUGUCCGGGACGAUAAUGACGGUACCGGAAGAAUAAGCCCCGGCUAACUUCGUGCCAGCAGCCGCGGUAAUACGAAGGGGGCUAGCGUUGCUCGGAAUCACUGGGCGUAAAGGGCGCGUAGGCGGCCGAUUAAGUCGGGGGUGAAAGCCUGUGGCUCAACCACAGAAUUGCCUUCGAUACUGGUUGGCUUGAGACCGGAAGAGGACAGCGGAACUGCGAGUGUAGAGGUGAAAUUCGUAGAUAUUCGCAAGAACACCAGUGGCGAAGGCGGCUGUCUGGUCCGGUUCUGACGCUGAGGCGCGAAAGCGUGGGGAGCAAACAGGAUUAGAUACCCU
This 508-nucleotide ribosomal RNA is filed under the name uncultured bacterium. Its description in RNAcentral is "bacterial SSU rRNA". It matches the Rfam family "Bacterial small subunit ribosomal RNA", at positions 263 to 788 of the family's 1533-position model. The record is from RNAcentral.